This 301-nucleotide ribosomal RNA is filed under the name uncultured bacterium. Its description in RNAcentral is "partial 16S ribosomal RNA". It matches the Rfam family "Bacterial small subunit ribosomal RNA", at positions 509 to 807 of the family's 1533-position model. The record is from RNAcentral.
CAGUAGCCGCGGUAAAACGAAGGGGGCUAGCGUUGCUCGGAAUGACUGGGCGUAAAGGGCGCGUAGGCGGAUUGUUUAGUUAGGCGUGAAAUUCCUGGGCUUAACCUGGGGACUGCGCUUAAUACAGGCAGUCUAGAGUGAGGAAGAGGGUUGUGGAAUUCCCAGUGUAGCGGUGAAAUGCGUAGAGAUGUGGAGGAACACCAGUGGCGAAGGCGACUCUCUGGUCUGUAACUGGCGCUGAGGAGCGAAAGCGUGGGGAGCGAACAGGAUUAGAUACCCGAGUAGUCCCUGUCUCUUAUAC